UCGGCCGUGGUGAAAUUGGCAUCACCUCAGAUUUUGGCUCUGAAGUUUCAGGUUCGAACCCUGGCGGCCGAG
Molecule: transfer RNA, 72 nt
Filed under: Hamadaea flava
Lineage: Bacteria; Bacillati; Actinomycetota; Actinomycetes; Micromonosporales; Micromonosporaceae
Also listed under: 3 other names
Description: tRNA-Gln
Rfam family: tRNA
About the family: Transfer RNA (tRNA) molecules are approximately 80 nucleotides in length. Their secondary structure includes four short double-helical elements and three loops (D, anti-codon, and T loops). Further hydrogen bonds mediate the characteristic L-shaped molecular structure. tRNAs have two regions of fundamental functional importance: the anti-codon, which is responsible for specific mRNA codon recognition, and the 3' end, to which the tRNAs corresponding amino acid is attached (by aminoacyl-tRNA synthetases). tRNAs cope with the degeneracy of the genetic code in two manners: having more than one tRNA (with a specific anti-codon) for a particular amino acid; and 'wobble' base-pairing, i.e. permitting non-standard base-pairing at the 3rd anti-codon position.
Source: RNAcentral